Molecule: non-coding RNA, 30 nt
Filed under: Macaca fascicularis (crab-eating macaque)
Lineage: Eukaryota; Metazoa; Chordata; Mammalia; Primates; Cercopithecidae
Also listed under: 1 other name
Source: RNAcentral
UGCACAGGAAAAGUACUUUAUACCCUCGGA